This is a long non-coding RNA of Salvia splendens (bonfire salvia), 318 nucleotides long. RefSeq lists it as uncharacterized. Lineage: Eukaryota; Viridiplantae; Streptophyta; Magnoliopsida; Lamiales; Lamiaceae. The transcript has 4 exons. The record is from RefSeq and is a predicted model, not a curated record.
AAUAGAUCAAGUUUCUGAAGGAUGUUUCAGGACCUCUCUUCCUAGUCACAUUCAAUCUUUGGGUUCACUUUUGAAUAUCUUUCUGGUUGUGUGUAAGGCUGCGUAGCAAGUAGAACUCAGUCCCAUGUUGAGAGCACUACUUCAGCGUUGAUAAGUUCUAGAGAUAUCCCCUGUUCUUCUUCAGCGAGGGACUAACCCCGGAGUUGUCCAGGUUCUCGCUUCCUGUAUAGGGGUGUGAUCCUGGCACCACCCCUUACUUGCUUUCUACCCAAACAAGAAUCACUAACAGAGUUGACACCGAUGAAUGGAAUCCAUCCA